Molecule: ribosomal RNA, 430 nt
Filed under: bacterium
Lineage: Bacteria
Also listed under: 1 other name
Description: bacterial SSU rRNA
Rfam family: Bacterial small subunit ribosomal RNA
Source: RNAcentral
GUGGGGAAUUUUGGACAAUGGGGGCAACCCUGAUCCAGCCAUGCCGCGUGAGUGAAGAAGGCCUUCGGGUUGUAAAGCUCUUUCGGCGGGGAAGAAAUGGCAACGGCUAAUAUCCGUUGUUGAUGACGGUACCCGCAUAAGAAGCACCGGCUAACUACGUGCCAGCAGCCGCGGUAAUACGUAGGGUGCGAGCGUUAAUCGGAAUUACUGGGCGUAAAGCGUGCGCAGGCGGUUUCGUAAGACAGACGUGAAAUCCCCGGGCUCAACCUGGGAACUGCGUUUGUGACUGCGAGGCUAGAGUACGGCAGAGGGGGGUAGAAUUCCACGUGUAGCAGUGAAAUGCGUAGAGAUGUGGAGGAAUACCGAUGGCGAAGGCAGCCCCCUGGGUUAGUACUGACGCUCAUGCACGAAAGCGUGGGGAGCAAACAGG